This 636-nucleotide ribosomal RNA is filed under the name Desmognathus aeneus. RNAcentral's name for it is "partial 12S ribosomal RNA". It matches the Rfam family "Bacterial small subunit ribosomal RNA", at positions 625 to 1523 of the family's 1533-position model. Lineage: Eukaryota; Metazoa; Chordata; Amphibia; Caudata; Plethodontidae. The record is from RNAcentral.
GGCCCAAAGGGUAGUUUUAGACAAAAUAAAAAUAGAAUUUAAAAUUUAUUUAGCGGUUAUAUAUAAAUAUAAAAUGUAAAUCCAAAAACGAAAGUUAUUCUAUUUACUCUCGAACCUACUACAGCUGAGGAACAAACUGGGAUUAGAUACCCCACUAUGCUCAACUUUAAACUGAAUCUCCCGCCAGAGCACUACGAGCCAUAGCUUAAAACUCAAAGGACUUGGCGGUGCUCUACACCCACCUAGAGGAGCCUGUUCUAUAAUCGACACCCCCCGAUAAACCUCACCACCUCUUGCUAUUACAGCCUAUAUACCACCGUCCAGUUCACCUUUUAAAAGAAUAAUAGUGAACGAAAUAAUUUAAAAUAAAAAAGUCAGGUCAAGGUGCAGCAAAUGAGAUGGAAAGAAAUGGGCUACAUUUUUUAUAAUAAAAAACACGGAAUAUUAUGUGAAAUAAAAUAUCAAGGAGGAUUUAGAAGUAAAAAGAAAAAAGAGUGUUCUUUUUAAACUGGCAAUAGAGCACGCACACACCGCCCGUCACCCUCUUCAAAAAAAUAUAAAAUAAAUAAUUAUUAAUAAGUAUAAGAAAAGGUAAGUCGUAACAUGGUAAGUCUACCGGAAGGUGGCCUUGGAUAU